This 253-nucleotide ribosomal RNA is filed under the name uncultured bacterium. RNAcentral's name for it is "partial 16S ribosomal RNA". It matches the Rfam family "Bacterial small subunit ribosomal RNA", at positions 524 to 776 of the family's 1533-position model. The record is from RNAcentral.
UACAGAGGGUGCAAGCGUUAUCCGGAAUCACUGGGUUUAAGGGGUGCGUAGGCGGGGAGAUAAGUCAGUGGUGAAAGCUCGUUGCUUAACAACGGAAUUGCCUUUGAUACUGUUUUUCUUGAAAUUUGUUGAGGUUGGCGGAAUGAGACAUGUAGCGGUGAAAUGCUUAGAUAUGUCUUAGAACACCGAUUGCGAAGGCAGCUGACUGGACAAUAUUUGACGCUGAGGCACGAAAGCGUGGGGAUCAAACAGG